GGCCUUGUUAUUUAAUUUAAACAGGAUGUUGCAGUUUUGAAUCAAUGUUAUUUAGAAUUUAAUACCUCUGGCCAUGUGUGAUCUUUUUUAUGAGUUUGCCCCCAAGCAGAGGUUAUACUUUAUAUUUCACCACUAAUCAGAAAAACACUUUUAUUUAUUUAUUUAAUUUUAUCCCUUUUUUAUAUAAGCUAUAUAUAAUAUAUUUUUUUAUCCUAAAUAUAAUCAGAGAUAUAUUUCUUUUAUAAGAUUAAUUUUUUUAUAAAUUUUGUUGGCUGUUGUUAUAUAUAUAUUAAGUUAAAAAGAAAUUUAUUUUAACAGUUAAAAAAGUAGAGAUUUUUUGGUCUAGUAUGGUUCAGACUGGUCGAGUAUUGUUCAGACCUUUGGUUAAGUAUGGUUUAGACUGGAAAAAUAGGUCGAGUACAUGUCGAGAAUGGGUUAAGACUGUUUCAGACUGGUCGAGUAAUAGUUCAGACUAUUUUCAACGGCAAAGAUAAGGGUCAAGUACGAUUCAGUACAGUCAAGUAUGGUUCAGACUGGGGUCGAGUAAUGUCAAG
This 554-nucleotide long non-coding RNA is filed under the name Mytilus galloprovincialis (Mediterranean mussel). Lineage: Eukaryota; Metazoa; Mollusca; Bivalvia; Mytilida; Mytilidae. The record is from RNAcentral.